RNAcentral lists this unclassified non-coding RNA (254 nucleotides) under uncultured bacterium. RNAcentral describes it as "contains 16S-23S intergenic spacer region". It matches the Rfam family "Bacterial small subunit ribosomal RNA", at positions 524 to 776 of the family's 1533-position model. The record is from RNAcentral.
GACGUAGGGGGCGAGCGUUAUCCGGAUUUACUGGGCGUAAAGGGCGCGUAGGCGGCUGCGUAAGUCCGGCGUGAAAUACCACGGCUCAACUGUGGAAUUGCGUCGGAUACUGCGCUGGCUUGAGGACGGUAGAGGCUAGUGGAACUAGCGGUGUAGCGGUGAAAUGCGCAGAUAUCGCUAGGAACGCCGGUGGCGAAGGCGACUGGCUGGGCCGAUCCUGACGCUGAGGCGCGAAAGCUAGGGGAGCGAACCGG